AGCUUUAUUUUCACGGCGUUGUCGCUUGUUCUAAAGUGCUUCGUCCAUUAAACACCGGCCGCGGGGUGCUGCGGAGGCUUUUCCCGCGAGGGAGAUGAUGUGGAGCUGUUGCAGCGAGCCUAAGAAGGCCAUUCCUGCCCGUGGCAAGGGGAUGGAAUAAAUUCAUUGAAUCAUAAAAUCUUAAGGGUUGGGAGGGAACUGAAAAAUCUCGUUUCACCCCCUGCCAUGGGCUGGGGCACCUUCCGCUACACGAGGUUGCUCCGAACUCCGUCCAGCCUGGGAGAAACAGGAAUAUAAUUUGGGAAAACGAUCAUAUAAAGCAAUUUUCAGCAUCUUUAUCCCUCCCCACUGAUGGAAACAGCAGUGGAAUCUGAUGGAAGAGCAGCUGGGUCAGCCAAUUGUGCAGUCCAGUUACAACAGUGUAGUUUCUAUGGGAUCAAUCACCAUCUUAAGACUUACUGCCCAAAAAUCCAGACAAAUGCUCUGAUUCACUCAGAUGAAAGAAACAAAAAGCUUAUGUUAUUUCUAAAAUCUGCAAUGCUAAUUCCUUCUUAGUCCAAGUAAUGUAAACAUCUCAGUGUCUUUGAUUACAGUAGACUACAAAUGUGAGUAAGGGUCUUGAUCCACCUCACUCUGCUCCAUUGGCUUUCCAGAUCAUUCCAUAGUCUUCAUCAUCAUCAAAAACCAUUUGAGUUUAUGCUCAAAUCCAUCCUUCUGAAGUGAUUACAUUCCAAAACACAAAAAUAUGUCCCUCCUUAGGAUAAAACUUGUAUUCCAAGGCUUGCCUUCCAUCCCAUUGUGAAUUAACUGAAGGCUGCUGGUACUUCUAUAUUCUUUACUUUUAAACUCCAGUGAAUGUGCAAGUAGUGCCUGAGCUGCCAACACCGUGAAACAGCUUUUGAUGUGUUUAUUUGGAUGGAAGCCUCACUGGGAUGGGCAUUCCAAGUAUUUCAGGAGGACUUGCAAAUCUGCAAUGCCGAGUCUAUAAAAUGCAUCUAAAUCUUCCAUGCUGGGGGUGGAUUUCUUGGUCCUUUAGGUUUUGAAAAUCGAUUUGCAAAGCCUAGGAAGAAAUUAUAUAUAUAUUUUUAAUGCAACAAAUUCUGUAUGUUAUAAAUGCUGAUUAUGUAAUCCCUUAAAAUAACACGGGAUUUGAAAAUACUUGUAGUUUCAGAUCUUUCCUAAGCUUUAAGAUAUGACAGAAAAGCAACAUCCUGUAGCUGCGAAUAAAGUUGUAAAUGUGUAAAAACUAAAUGUGUAAAAACCAAUGAGCAUUA
Corvus hawaiiensis (hawaiian crow) is the source of this 1274-nucleotide long non-coding RNA. RefSeq lists it as uncharacterized. Lineage: Eukaryota; Metazoa; Chordata; Aves; Passeriformes; Corvidae. The record is from RefSeq and is a predicted model, not a curated record. The transcript has 3 exons.